Molecule: non-coding RNA, 4826 nt
Organism: Cyanistes caeruleus (blue tit)
Lineage: Eukaryota; Metazoa; Chordata; Aves; Passeriformes; Paridae
Source: RefSeq, a predicted model, not a curated record
GUCCCGUUUGAGGCCGCGGGUUCGCGUCCGCUCCCGGCGGGCGAGGGGGAGGAGCAGGGCUGUGGGCUUGGGCCCUUAUCCUCGAUGAAACCACCUGUCCUGAAGCUGUUUUGUUCACCCUUCCAGAAGCCACGGCUCGCUAGAAUUGAAAUGGCAAAAGUCCCGAGGUACUGGCUUGUGCAACUUCGGGGAAAAAUGAACAGGGUUUUAGAGGAUUUUAAGUCUUGAAGGAACCUUUGGAGUUAAUUUUAUCUCUCCGUCAGCCUUGCAACAGGAUUAAAUAUACCCAAGCUCUUUCUGGGAAUUGAAGGCUUAAUGAGUAACUAUGGGUGUACUUUAAAAAGUUCCUCUGCGUCUUGCCCUGUGGCCUCCCUUCAUAGAUACACUUCCCUAAUUUUUUCCAGUUGGUCGUUCAUCACUGAUAGUUAGGUAUAUUUAUGAAAAACAUAAAAACGUUGGUAAUGUGAAGUCCUGUUCUAGGCGAAAAUUCUCUGCAAAACACAUGGAUUACACCAAAAGUAUGUUCUGAGAGGAAGGUGACACCUAAUGCUGCAGGUAACCAAAACAGUAUUUUCACCUGGGAUGUGGUCUGGUUAAAGCCAUGAAGGUCUGGGCUGGUGGAAACAUCCAUCUGAAAGUCAGAAGAGGUGCCCUGCUUCAAGCAGCAUUGCUAUUGGUGACGUGACAACUGGUGUUGGAUUCCUCCCAUGGGUAGAAUCAAGGCUUCUUGAGAAAACAUACUGCAUAGGAGAUCAGUGGGGAGAAGGACCUGCCAGUGAAAAUCCUGUUUGGAAAUGCUGAACAAUGCUAUAUGCUUUGGGGACAUCUUCUAUGUCUUGUGAGAAAAGUUAAAGAAGCUCUCUAUAAAGAUAUGGUUUACUGAUCCUGGUAUGCAGAUGUGCGCUAUCUGACAAAAUUUGGUAGAGGCAGAAGGAAGUCCUGUGCUCUGCUCGUUUGCUAGUUGAAUGUAAACUAUGUAUUGCUAAAACCUUGUAGCAUAUAGUAUUUUUGAAGAGUGUUGUACAUACUAGGAACUUUGAAGAAACAGUACAAAUAUGAAUUUCUGAUCACUUUGAUAACUUGAUGUUAUAACUUGAUAACUACAAAUUGUAGUUAAGCAUCUGAUUUCCCCUUUAGAUUAAUUUCAAUUAUGUGUCUAUUUCUACUUGUUCCUUGAUGAACACACUCCACAUGUGUUGAAGUCAGCAAACAGAAAAUGUUUUCAGAUGUAUUUAUUUUAAGUUUCUUGCAUAUUAUCUUGCCAUUCUUGGAUCUUUGUCUUUUGUCAGAUCAAAUAGCUUUUGUGAGCAAAGCAGACAAAAAAAGAGCAGGAAGAUAAUUACUGUUUUUGAAAACAGAACCCAGUCAGUGUCCUGCAGUAAUCUCUCUCCAGCUUUAGGUAGAAUCCAAUGCAUAGCAACCUUCUAAUGAGAGGGGAUGCAUGUGUUCAGGAUUUAUUUCAGAUUAUUAAUAAAAUAAAAAAAAAGUGAAGCAACAACCUAACCUCUAAGCAGAGAUUCUCUGAAAGCAUGCAGUGUAGGCAUCUACAUGCUUUACCAUUUUGCUAAUCUAUCAAUACAGUUGACAGGUUUAUGCUUGUGUAUGUUACAUAAAGAAGGGGGAAGACAAAUUUUAGUUAAAAAAAGUUAAAUAAGUUAAAAUUAUAAUUGCCUUGUCUGUUUGGCAGCUUUUUCAGUAUGGCAUUUAUUGAAGGUGAUUAAUUUUGUAAAGAAAGUUUUGUGAAGAUAUUCUGAAUUUGAGUGGGAACUAAAAUGGCUUGAUUUACUGAAUGGACUUCAGUAAGAUUCUUCAAUGGUUUGAAAGGCAGCUCAUGAAAUUACUUGUAGAUAGUUAAUCUAUUUUAAGGUCAUAUUUCAUGUGAAAACUUUUUGCAAGGACAAGUCCUUUGAAAGCAUAAAUACGUAUGGGCAAUGUUAAUGUGUUUUUCUAGCAUCUUCACAGCUGAAAUACAAAGUUGUUGCUGACCAGCUAAUUUCUUGAGCAUAAUUUCAUUUGAUCUGUUGUGGUUUACUUUAUUUCCUUUAGUACUAAGAACUUCUUUUGUUUCUGUGCAGUCUCCUAAUAUUUACAGGUCUUGUUAAUCAGAAUUGUGAAACCAUCUAGGUUGGAAGGGAAUUCUUGAGAGCAUCUGAGAGCAUCUAUUGCAUCCCACCCUAGAAGAGAUUGCCUAGGACAGUACCUAGUGAAGUUUCGAGUAUUUCCAUUCCUGGAGACUGCAACCCUUCAGGAUAACCUGUGGAGGUGUAUCACAGUAAAAACGUUUCUUUUUCUAUUAAGAUUGUCUUCUGUGCUUUUGGGUGGAGUUGUCUCUUUCAUAGAUUGCCUCAGCAGGCAUUUUGGAUAGGAAAGUUGUGUAAAUGUCAUUAGAAAAGAUAUUUGUGAGAGGUUGUUUACUUUUUAUCCAGCAUCUGGAUAAAAUUCCCCAAGUCCCUAAGUCUCCUUCCUUCUUCUCUUCCUCCUCCUCUGGCUCAUAAACUGUAUUUCCUAAAAAACCUUCCCAGCUGAAAUCUAGUUUAAUAGUUUAGGACUGUAUCAGAAGGAAAAGAUUAGUCUUAAGUAUCUGUUGAGGUAUUAGCCUAUUGGAUAUUUUUUUCCCCAAAGAAAAAAGACAUUUAUCAAAUGAUUGAGGCUAAGGUUUUAAUGGUUUCUAAACCAAACAGUUUUAGCAAACAGAUGUAUGUAUCCAAAAGUGAUUUAGCAUCUGAAUAAAUUAUGGUAUGUUUCUCUUCUACACACCUUCUUGGACUAUUAUAUUCAAUGUCAUAUAAACCGCACUUUUGAAAUGAAAUCUUUUCUGGGAUCUGGCACCUGUUGAUAGGGAGUCUGUUGACUAAAUACAUAGAAGCCUUCUUUGGCUAAUGAAGCUCCUGAGUGUUAAUGCAUACUAGCUUUGCUCUAACUUCAGGUAUUUCAGGCAUCUACUUCUUGAUGUUGUUUCUUUCUGUGGCAGAAUUCUGGAGAACCUGACUCUUUUAGUUAUACAGGAUGGUGGCCUUUAUGUUUAAAAGAAGGUUCUUAUUCAUAUUUAUUCUCUUCUUUUACAGUAACAAUUCCCAAAGCGUCAAGGUGCCUACAAGGAUCAUAUAUGGGUUUUAUGCUGCUGUCUACCACCUCAAAAUAUCAAGAUCUUCAGUACCUAUGUUCUUAUUACUCUCAGGAGUUUUUGCUUUUCAUUGUUGUUUAAAAGAUCUGGCUUGUGUUUUACUUCCAUCUUGUUUUCCCUUGUGGUUGUGUAUUUUUGUGGGUGGAGAUGGAGGAUAUGCUGUUUUUGCAAAACCUAGUGGCUCCUGGUAUAGGAAAUUAAUCUGGUUUGUUUGUUUCUGUUUUUUUCCAUGUGCUUGUUUUGAUAUUUAUUGCGGGUUUUUUUCAGUAAGAGGGAUGAUAUAUCUCUGGAAGCUCAUUCUAUGGGUGGAGUUUCUGAGCCAAGAUUACCUUCUUUAGCUUUAUUUGCUUUCUCUUUAGUCUUGUGUGUUUCUUGAAACCCCUAUUAGGUCUAUAGAGAUCUGUAGCAUAUUCCUUGGUGUCUUGCAGAGAAGCUUCUUUUGGUGAAAGAUAGUUCAUUUGAUGUAAAAUAAUGUGCAUUGCUAAAUUGAUGAUUGAUGUCCCAACUCUCAGGUUCUAGGAUAGACACUUUCAUGCCCCCAUGUUCUGUAACUGAAAAGAUAGGAGUAGUUCUUCCAUGUAUUCUGUGAUAGUAAACUACAGCAAAUCCUUGCUUUGAGCAAGACAGUGAUUCUGGAUUGGAUUUUCCAUGUCAAACUGACAUUUUCAUCAAGCAGAGUGUCAUAUAUUGAUGGUAUUACAGAAAGUUGGAAGAAGCAAGCACAUUAUCUUCUGCUUUUACUUACGCUAUUGGUGAUAGUCAUGAGACAAAUUAGCUUAAUUUUGUAUUUGCCAGCCUAGGAUGUCUCUCUUUGUCGAAAAUGCCGUUUUGAAUUCAAACAAGUGUCUUAACAGCUUACCCAUUAUUACUUUCAAAAAACCAAGAUGCUGUAAGUCUUCCUUUUACUUAUUGCAGCUUUUUGAUUUCAAAGGUAAUAUGGCAUGUCUGUCUGCUAAAGUGAUACUGUGUUUUACUUACUGAGGACUAUAUUUUCUAACUUUGUGGUUCUACCAACUGUGCUCUUGAUCUCUUUUUUUUUUCUUUUUUUUUUUUUCUUUUUUUUCUUUCCCCUGUGUAAAAAUACAUGUUGUAGCUCAUGUGUCUUUUCAGUCAGUGAUAGUAACGCCUAAUCCUUUUCUAUGUUAGGAAUUAAGUAUGCCAUUGCAUGUUACUCUGCCCAAAAAGUAGUCUGCCAACUGGCAGCAGUCUCCAGACCAUACUGUUUAGCCAAAGAAACCAUACUGGUUUUCAGUUUACAAGUGCAGUUUAUCCACUAAAUAGUAGUUCACCAUUAGUCAAAAAGGUAGGAGCUGAUCAGUAUAACCUGUUAAAGGUUCUUCUGCAGUUGAUUUCACCAGUAGCAUUUCAACAUUUUUGUAGAAGGUGCUAAAUACAAAUGAGGAAUAAAGAGAUCUUCCAGUAGCUGCUGCUGCUUUUGCUUCUGUUUAUUACCAGGAAUUGGAAAGAAAUCUUGAAGGACAAUGUAUAUCUAUCUCUAGGCAUUUUUGGGUAAAAGAGGAUCCAGAAAGGUGGUUGCUACUUUGUGGGAAGUGGAGUGGCAGGGGUUUCUAUUGUUUCCUGCCUUGUUUCAUGCUGUGUUUCCUGCUUAUUAUGAAAAGCUGUGCAUAGAUCUAUUUUGGUCUUCAUGUUCUGUUUUACAGUGUGCUUGAUGAAAAAUAACAGCUCUUUGUGGGCAAUGGAA